UACGUAGGGGGCAAGCGUUAUCCGGAUUUACUGGGUGUAAAGGGAGCGUAGGUGGCUGGAUAAGUCAGAUGUGAAAGCCCAGGGCUCAACCCUGGGACUGCAUUUGAAACUAUCUGGCUAGAGUGCAGGAGAGGUAAGUGGAAUUCCUAGUGUAGCGGUGAAAUGCGUAGAUAUUAGGAGGAACACCAGUGGCGAAGGCGGCUUACUGGACUGUAACUGACACUGAGGCUCGAAAGCGUGGGGAGCAAACAGG
RNAcentral lists this ribosomal RNA (253 nucleotides) under uncultured bacterium. RNAcentral describes it as "partial 16S ribosomal RNA". It matches the Rfam family "Bacterial small subunit ribosomal RNA", at positions 524 to 776 of the family's 1533-position model. The record is from RNAcentral.